GCCUGGCUGGCUCAGUGGGUAGAGUGUGUGACUCUUGAUCUUGCGGUUGUGAGUUCGAGCCCCAUGUUAGGUA
Molecule: transfer RNA, 73 nt
Filed under: Canis lupus familiaris (dog)
Lineage: Eukaryota; Metazoa; Chordata; Mammalia; Carnivora; Canidae
Also listed under: 1 other name
Rfam family: tRNA
About the family: Transfer RNA (tRNA) molecules are approximately 80 nucleotides in length. Their secondary structure includes four short double-helical elements and three loops (D, anti-codon, and T loops).
Source: Rfam by way of RNAcentral